RNAcentral lists this long non-coding RNA (3808 nucleotides) under Androctonus crassicauda. The record is from RNAcentral. Lineage: Eukaryota; Metazoa; Arthropoda; Arachnida; Scorpiones; Buthidae.
AAGUUAUUGAUAUUAUAUAGAUCUAAUAAUAUGAAUAUAUUUAUAUAGGCCUAUAUAUUAAUCAUAAACAUAAAUGAUAUUUUACCUAAACCAUUCGCCAUCAUUAAUAGUCUAUCAUAAAAUUUUACAAGAUUAGAAUAAUGGAAAAUAUUUAUGGUUGUUUAUAGAAAAUAAAGCAUUAAAACAAACAAAUCAUGGUUUUUAUCAUCGUGUCAGCUAAUCCAGUUAAUCCUCAAUAAAUAUUUUUUAUAAACUAUGCGAUGUUUUAUUUUGUUCCUUUAGUGGGUCAGAUUCUUAAGAUAUUUAGAAAAUUACGGCUACAAAAUAAUUUAAAUUUUACAUCUUGAAUAUUUAGUUUUGAUUGAAUUUAUUUAAUAUGAUUAAAUAAUAUCAUAUGAGAACCAUUGGAAUAUUAAAUUUCGCAUAGUUUAAGAAUCUUCUCACCCUUCUCUUAAAAUAUAGGUCAAAUUAUUCACAAAAUCUAAAGCUACGUUUAUAUGACUAUAAUUUGUAAACAUUUCUACAUAACAAUACAAAUGGGAGGGAUUAAAUAAGUAAUUCUGUAAACUAUGGGCAGUAGGCCUACUAAGAACAUUUCUUACCAAAGAAAUAAUAAGGAGAUGGAAUGUUAACUUAGGAGCAUAAAAAAAUGUCGACAUCAGCUGACUCAUUCCAACAAUUGAAACAAAGUGGCCGCCCACUUUUGGGUCACGAAGAAAAUCACGAUACAGCGUGACAAACGUGAGUGUUAAGAAGUCAUUAUCUUUCACAAAAAAUUUUAUAAGGUACACAUAUAAAUAUCCUGGAGUAACCUUGUUCCGAAUGCGCUUUGUUAAAAAUUGAAUAGGGGAAAUUUUAAGUUCCAGUGACCUUUCUUAUUUGUUUUUGUUCAACAAACGAAAUCUUUUACUCUGUCAUAGUUUGGGUUAAUGCACAGAUUCCAAACUCAUAAUUAACACGUCACGUUUUACAUUUAAUCAGCUUAGAAUACUGUAUUGAUUGAAACGUGCAUUAUUUUAAUGCAACUCCAUUAAAUUUUAGAAUUUAUUGUGAUUCUUGCGGAUUGUAUCCAUUUAUAUACUAACAGAUUGUAAUGGCUUAAUAAUAGGCAAUCAAACUAAAUAAGAAAAUUGACUCUGAGUGAAAUUAUAAAGGAGGAGGAAAAAAAUCCGAGAUCGUGACUAGUUACACAGUGACUUCUUGGCUUAAUAGAAAUUACAUUAAAUUAAGUGGAAACGACAACACGAGUUAAAAAUCCAACGAGAACAUAACGUGUAAAAAAGAACAACUAUUGCGACUAACUCGGCCAUGUUCACUGAUAAAUGCUUAAUGAAGAGUUCAUUCAGCAUAGGUGGUCAUGUAAGAAGCAAAGGUUUUAACUUACUCCAGACCUCCCGUAUUUGAUAAACUAUAAAAAGAAAUUUUAAGACUGUCUUAUAAUAUUUAUGUUCUAUGGCAAAGCAAUUAACGCGUAUACGUUGUCAGACCAAACGGAUUCUAUCAGGACCCCGUAGAUGAAACGGAGGAGGUCCUUUGAUAGAAAACGAAAAAAAGCUAUUAACCAAUAGGUUAGUACCAUUAACGUAAUGCCUCGCUAUCUGUCAGACUUAAUGCAAGAACGAGCGGCUAUUAAAACUGAGGGCUCUAAAACAUUUCAUCGACGUAAUGGCAGAAAACUGACAUUUUACAACAUGACCCGCAGUAUUACAUUUAAAAGUUAUCCGACUUCGAAUACCGAACUCGACUUGUGCACUUUAUUUCAAGCCUUCCUGCAGUUUGUCUUCACAGUAUACGUUAUAAAUAGAAAGCAUUUUCAUUCGCUAAAGAAUAAAAAAUUUUAUCUCAUAAUUCAUACAGUUACAUUACUGUUUCUUAAUUAAAUUUUCCUAUUUGUUGUUUUAACGAUUUUGUUAUUUGUAGAAAACGUAAUAUUUAAUUAUUUUUGUUAAUUAAUUUAAUCUGGUUUUAUGUCAAUUAAAAAUUAAUGAAAAUAAUGUUAGAAUGCAUCUAAAAAAAAAAACCAUUAAAUUGUUUUCCAAAUCCAUAUCAUUUAUCCGAAUAGAUUACUAAAGUGAUCGGAUAAUUUAGUAUGAUAGAAAGAAAAGUUGAAUUAAUUUAAUUUUAGAAGGCAUUGAAAAUUUAAAAAAUUUUCUAACAUAAAGCAAUAAUAAAAAAAUUUAUCAUCAAAAAAUCCGUUAUAUAUGUAUUUAUGCCCGUCUAUGUUAUUUUUUAUACGUCUAUGUCAUGAAUGUCUGUAGUUUCCGUAGAUAUGUAAAAAUGCAUUUUGUACAAUUCUAUAUUUUUUAUGAAUUGUUCUAUUAGUUUGAUAAACAUAAGCUAAAUAAUUGCAUAUUAAAAAAGGUGUAAAAAAUUAUGAGACACUUAAAUUUGCUUAUAUAAAUGCAACAAAUUUAUUGGAGAAAAUUUUUUCUUAUAUGACAAACUAACCAUUUACGAAUAAAUGUGGCUGAAUUAUUGACAAUAUUUAGUCCCGUAUAUAGUUUUUUGUUAAAUAUUUAACUUAUAUUUUGGAAACUUAUUAAUAGAUCUAUUUAAAAAAUCUUUGCAGUAGCGCACAGUAAAAAAUUUUGGGUCUUGUAUAAAGUAUUUCUUUGGUCUUUAUAGUCACAGUGCAGUAACAAAUCGAGACCUUUCCCAUCGAUAGGGCCUACAAAAUUAUUUUCAAGUCAUCGAAUUUAAGAAUAACUUUAUCUUUACUGAAUUUUAUGUUAAAAAGAUUAUUAAGUGAAUUUUUAGCAUAAAAUUCAGUGGGAUCGUUUCAAAUGAUAAAAUUUAAUUCUACGUAGGCUCUACAAUAAUAGGUCAAAUUUUAUUAGUCUGUUAUUUUAUAACAUCUGGAAUAUCGAUAAUAUUUGGGUUGGCAUUAUUAAACUUGUUAAGUCCAUUCGUUAAAUAAUAAAAAAACUGCAUAAUUUCGUAGUAAUUUAAAUUUUCUUCUUUCUCUGACACGUUUUAAUUCACGUUAUAUCGCACGCUUAAAGAUUUCUUAUGGGAUUAAAGCUAUGCAAACUAAAUAUUGUAUUAAGAUAUAGGAAAUGAAUUCAUUUAUUUAUUAUUAAAUUUAGAUAAUAAGAUAAAUUUAAAAUGCUUAAAAUAAUACAGAGAAUCAAAAAAAUUCUGAUCGUUACAUGCAAAGAAUGGCUUCGAUCUUGUUUAUUAAAUAUGGAGUAAACUAUAACGUACUACUAUACCAUAAGCAUAAAAUCUAAGAUGGUUUGCUCAGAAUGAUUCUAAUUAUGAGACAAAAAAGAUGCCGAAAACUGGAUAGGCCUAUAUCAUUAAAUUAAGUUCAUAGAUGUUGGUAUUUUACCUACGAAAAUUUAUUUUAUGUAAAUUGAUAUCAAAUAGGAUCCUUCUUAUUAUAGAAGCCUCUUUUAAGUCGGGUUAAUUCGUAAUGUACCAUUUCAUAUAGCGUAAAUUAAAAAUUAUUAAAAAUAUUCGAAUAGAGGAAGAUAUCAAAAUUAUACAAAAAAAUAAGCCUGCUAAGGUUUCGGCUUUGUUUAGGCUAUUGUUUAGAAGAUUUCUAAGCGCUAAAAAAUUAAAUAUUUAACUGUAUUCAAGCAAACUUAAUAAAUUCACAAUACUUUCAAAGCUAAACAAAUUAACACAGUAAUUCUGUAAUCUUAAUUUAUGUUAUCAUAAAUAGAAAAUAUUCAUCCAAAUUUACAAAAGGUACAUUAAAAUAUUAGAAUUAAGACUUUAAUAUUAUAAAGAUCGCUAAUUUUCUCAUUAAAAACUUUAGAAAGAACAUUUUCUGGAAUGUAAUAUAAAAAAAUUCCAUUAUGAC